Molecule: ribosomal RNA, 492 nt
Filed under: uncultured bacterium
Lineage: Bacteria
Description: partial 16S ribosomal RNA
Rfam family: Bacterial small subunit ribosomal RNA
Source: RNAcentral
AGUGAACGCUGGCGGUAGGCCUAACACAUGCAAGUCGAACGGCAGCACAGUAAGAGCUUGCUCUUACGGGUGGCGAGUGGCGGACGGGUGAGGAAUACAUCGGAAUCUACUUUUUCGUGGGGGAUAACGUAGGGAAACUUACGCUAAUACCGCAUACGACCUACGGGUGAAAGCAGGGGAUCUUCGGACCUUGCGCGAUUGAAUGAGCCGAUGUCGGAUUAGCUAGUUGGCGGGGUAAAGGCCCACCAAGGCGACGAUCCGUAGCUGGUCUGAGAGGAUGACCAGCCACACGGGAACUGAGACACGGUCCAGACUCCUACGGGAGGCAGCAGUGGGGAAUAUUGGACAAUGGGCGCAAGCCUGAUCCAGCCAUACCGCGUGGGUGAAGAAGGCCUUCGGGUUGUAAAGCCCUUUUGUUGGGAAAGAAAAGCAGCAGGUUAAUACCCCGCUGUUCUGACGGUACCCAAAGAAUAAGCACCGGCUAACUUCGUG